RNAcentral lists this ribosomal RNA (468 nucleotides) under uncultured bacterium. RNAcentral's name for it is "partial 16S ribosomal RNA". It matches the Rfam family "Bacterial small subunit ribosomal RNA", at positions 28 to 507 of the family's 1533-position model. The record is from RNAcentral.
GACGAACGCUGGCGGCGUGCUUAACACAUGCAAGUCGAACGGAAAGGCCCUGCUUUUGUGGGGUGCUCGAGUGGCGAACGGGUGAGUAACACGUGAGUAACCUGCCAUUGACUUUGGGAUAACUUCAGGCAACUGGGGCUCAUACCGGAUAGGAGCUCUUGCUGCUUGGUGGGGGCUGGUAAGUUUCGGCGGUUGGGGAUGGACUCGCGGCCUAUCAGCUUGUUGGUGGGGUAGUGGCUUACCAAGGCUUUGACGGGUAGCCGGCCUGAGAGGGUGACCGGCCACAUUGGGACUGAGAUGCGACACAGACUCCUAUGGGAGGCAGCAGUGCGGAAUAUUGCACAAUGGGCGGGAGCCUGAUGCAGCAACGCCACGUGCGGGAUGACGGCCUUCGGGUUGGAUUGCGCUUUCGCCUGUGACGAGGCGUGAGUGACGGUAAUGGGUGAAGAAGCUCCGGCUAACUACGUG